Non-coding RNA from Pelobates cultripes (western spadefoot toad), 334 nucleotides. The record is from the annotation of a GenBank genome assembly. NCBI's taxonomy places the organism in Eukaryota, Metazoa, Chordata, Amphibia, Anura, Pelobatidae.
CUGCAUUUCUGACCGACCGCCAGACCACCUGCAUUGCCCUGACAGCCCCCUGGUUCCCAGGGAAGAAUCCACCAAAAUACCACAAAAAUUUAAGCAAAUGAUAAAUAAAUAAAAAAUGUGUGUUUAUCUGUUAGUGAGUGUUAGUGAGUGUUAGUGUGUGUCUGAGAGUGAGAGUGUGUAUGUCUCUGUUUAUGAGAGUGUGUCUGUUAGUGCGUGUCAGUGUGUGUCUGAGAGUGAGAGUGUGUAUGUCUCUGUUUAUGAGAGUGUGUCUGUUAGUGCGUGUCAGUGUGUGUCUGUUAGUGAGAGUGUGUGUGUGUCUGUUAGUAAGAGUGUG